RNAcentral lists this long non-coding RNA (2219 nucleotides) under Gallus gallus (chicken). RNAcentral describes it as "lncRNA (ENSGALG00010010240.1)". The record is from RNAcentral. Lineage: Eukaryota; Metazoa; Chordata; Aves; Galliformes; Phasianidae.
UGUUCUAAUCAUCACUGUAAUUGCAUUCAGGAAAAAGAGCAUGGAAAUUUUGCAGAAAAAAAAUCUUUUGAGUAAUUUACCUAUCCUGACUUCAAGGGUAAUAGAUUUUAAUUUUAAGAGAUUGAUCAUCAUUAGCAAGUAAAAGGAAGCUACAUUUUGAAGAAGAAAUUCAGUGUAAAGUCUGUUUUGCUCUGGGUUCCUAACCUGGAAUGUUUUUCUGUGUAUAACCUCAGGGUCCCUUGAGAAUAUGAAAGGAAGCAAACAAAACAAACAAACAAACAAAAAAGCAAAGCUAAGAAUUAUAAUGACCCACAAGUAUAGACCUACGUACUGUAAAUGCAAUUAGAUAGCCCUGUACAAAGUUCUUUGAACUCAAAGACACAUUGAAACCCAAAUCUUGAAUGCUGGUUAUCUUUCCCAUUAUUAAUGCAGAGUACAUGCUAAAAUGUUUUGCCCUUCAUAUUCAGAAGAGGUACGUAUUCAUUACCAUUCACUCAUCAUAACUGUCAUACAAAAAUCAGUUGAAUAAUUACAGCGAAGUGCACCCAUGAAAGUGAGUUGAUCAAAUUAAAAUUAAUUAGUUGACAUUGUAUUCUUUGUUUAUCAUGAUCUUUUCCAGUCAUCUUGUGCAGGGUUAUACUCAUAUCUCUGAAACUGUUUUUUGUCUCUGCAAAAUAAAUGAGUGAUGCUACACUAGGUGCAGAAAAGGAUGGUGAACUUUACCAUUCAAAUGAAGAUACUUCUGCGGUUUGUUUAAGGACAUUCUACAAAAGAUUCCUCCUAUUGAUUGAUCUUUCUUUUUGCAAAUUCACUGGAGUUUUUCUAAUAGCAUUACUCAGAAGAGUUCUCAGCCAAACUGAAUUACAAAGAACAAAUGGUUCCAGGGCCUCUAAGGAAUCUCUGCUCAGCAAGCUGGUGUGGUUUUAUUCCUUGGAAAAGGUUUUGUUAUUCUAUCAGGGAUUUUACUGCCUAAAACAAAACUGAUUAAAAAAAAAGGGAAAGGAAAAUCCUAUCAUCAUGAGCUUCAAAAGCAGGAAAAAAAAUAUCUAUUUCUGAAGGUCUCAGGGAUUUUCUUUCAUACACAGACCUCAAGAAAAAUCAGCGUUCUUUCUUAUGCAUGUUGCAAAUCUACCUACUGAACCAUGAAGUUUAGGACUCUCCAGCUUCAUAUUUCUCCUGUACUGCCUGACUUUAUUUUUAACACUUCUCCCACACUACUGGGAGAGUACUGCCCAGACUCCAACCAGCACCAAACCUGGAACUCAGUUCUGUUCUUCUUCAUCCAGUAUCCCACCCCACAGACUGUAUAAUGACCUGAAUCCCAGUAUAGUUACUACAGGAAUAGAAAACAUUUUUUCCUAAACAUCCUUUGUCUUUUGAUUUGGAUCAUUCAUAAGCACAUUUUAAGACCUAUCUUGUAUUCAACACCUUUUCAUUACGAAUAACUAACAGUUAAAGAAUUCUUAAGACUAAGUAUUUUGUACUGAUUGGUGCAAUGCAAUCUGAGAUUUAUAUAUAUAUUUGGACAAAAAGCAGCACAUCACGAAAAAUACAAAGUACUAAAAGUAAAUGAAAUAUUAAUUAGAAAUCAAGUAUGUUAUUCUUGAUAAAAAUCUUUUUUUCACUACGUAGUGAAUAUGAAUGUAUGAAUAUGUAUGCAGUUCUCCACAUGAAAUAUAAUGUACAAUAUGUUUGUUCUGUACGUUCUUAUUGGGAAGCAAUAAUGAAGAUCAUGGAGAUAAAAGAAAUUCAAGAAAGAGAGAUAAAAGCCUGAUAUCACUGAAGUUAGUAGCAAAAACUCCUUUUUGAUUCAAAUAAGGUUAACUUUUACAUUUGUUAUACAAUAAUAUGUUUUUUCUGGAACAAUUGUUUUGUGGCAUAUCCAUCAUGCAGAGAAGCUCCAUUUUUAUUUUACUUAUUUCUUUUUAUAGUGUAAUACUGUAUUCUCUGUACCUUGGUGUAACAAAAAACUUAAUGUUUGACAGACUGAGCACUUCCUUUUUAAGUCACUGGUCAUCACUGACUUUGCUGUUCAUCUUACCUAAGAAUUAACUUUCUCUCUUUUAAGUGAAAACUUGAUACUGAUAUUUAAAAUCCCACAUAUUCCUGUUUGGACUACCACUAUUUUUAGCUACAAAAAGCUGUUUGAUAUUCAUUUUUUUUUUUUAUUCAAAUGGUAGAAUUCUCAACCUCAUCUUCAUUCAGGUCCCAGAAGUUAC